GACGAACGCUGGCGGCGUGCUUAACACAUGCAAGUCGAACGGAAAGGCCCUGCUUUUGUGGGGUGCUCGAGUGGCGAACGGGUGAGUAACACGUGAGUAACCUGCCCUUGACUUUGGGAUAACUUCAGGAAACUGGGGCUAAUACCGGAUAGGAGCUCCUGCUGCAUGGUGGGGGUUGGAAAGUUUCGGCGGUUGGGGAUGGACUCGCGGCUUAUCAGCUUGUUGGUGGGGUAGUGGCUUACCAAGGCUUUGACGGGUAGCCGGCCUGAGAGGGUGACCGGCCACAUUGGGACUGAGAUACGGCCCAGACUCCUACGGGAGGCAGCAGGGGGGAAUAUUGCACAAUGGGCGGAAGCCGGAUGCAGCAACGCCGCGGGCGGGAGGACGGCCUUCGGGUUGGAAACCGCUUUCGCCUGUGACGAAGCGUGAGUGACGGUAAGGGGUAAAGAAGCACCGGCUAACUACGUGC
Molecule: ribosomal RNA, 469 nt
Filed under: uncultured bacterium
Lineage: Bacteria
Description: partial 16S ribosomal RNA
Rfam family: Bacterial small subunit ribosomal RNA
Source: RNAcentral